GACGAACGCUGGCGGCGUGCCUAACACAUGCAAGUCGAACGAGGUCCAUGCAGUGGCAACACUGCGGAAGACCUAGUGGCGAACGGGUGAGUAACACGUGAGGAACCUGCCCCGAAGACCGGGAUAACUCUCCGAAAGGAGCGCUAAUACCGGAUACCCCCACCUAACCGCAUGGUCUGGUGAGGAAAUGGAUUCCGCUUCGGGAGGGCCUCGCGGCCUAUCAGCUAGUUGGCGGGGUAACGGCCCACCAAGGCAUCGACGGGUAGCUGGUCUGAGAGGACGAUCAGCCACACUGGGACUGAGACACGGCCCAGACUCCUACGGGAGGCAGCAGUGGGGAAUCUUGCGCAAUGGGCGAAAGCCUGACGCAGCAACGCCGCGUGGGGGAUGAAGGCUUUCGGGUUGUAAACCCUUUCAGCAGGGACGAAUCAAGACGGUACCUGCAGAAGAAGCCCGGCUAACUACGUGCCAGCAGCCGCGGUAAAGUCAC
This 490-nucleotide ribosomal RNA is filed under the name uncultured bacterium. Its description in RNAcentral is "bacterial SSU rRNA". It matches the Rfam family "Bacterial small subunit ribosomal RNA", at positions 28 to 526 of the family's 1533-position model. The record is from RNAcentral.